CCUACGGGGUGCAGCAGUGAGGAAUAUUGGUCAAUGGCCGCAGGCCUGAACCAGCCAAGUCGCGUGAGGGAUGACGGUCCUAUGGAUUGUAGACCUCUUUUGUCAGGGAGCAAAGGGCGCCACGUGUGGCGUUUUGCGAGUACCUGAAGAAAAAGCAUCGGCUAACUCCGGGCCAGCAGCCGCGGUAAUACGGAGGAUGCGAGCGUUAUCCGGAUUUAUUGGGUUUAAAGGGUGCGCAGGCGGAAUGUAAAGUCAGCGGUAAAAUUUCGGGGCUCAACCCCGUCGUGCCGUUGAAACUGGCGUUCUUGAGUGAGCGAGAAGUAUGCGGAAUGCGUGGUGUAGCGGUGAAAUGCAUAGAUAUCACGCAGAACUCCGAUUGCGAAGGCAGCAUACCGGCGCUCAACUGACGCUCAUGCACGAAAGCGUGGGUAUCGAACAGGAUUAGAUACCCCAGUAGUC
Molecule: ribosomal RNA, 459 nt
Filed under: uncultured bacterium
Lineage: Bacteria
Description: partial 16S ribosomal RNA
Rfam family: Bacterial small subunit ribosomal RNA
Source: RNAcentral